This 456-nucleotide long non-coding RNA is filed under the name Musa acuminata (dwarf banana). RNAcentral describes it as "long non-coding RNA (MACU_LNC005741)". The record is from RNAcentral. Lineage: Eukaryota; Viridiplantae; Streptophyta; Magnoliopsida; Zingiberales; Musaceae.
UUCCCAUCACCUGUACAGAACCCCUCUAUAACUCCGGCGCUCUGCUCUGCAUCUAGAACUCUGCACCAAGCACAACAUUGGCCCACUCGCCUGGUUGCAUAGCAUCAUCUGGCUGCCUCUCUCCACCGGCUGCUGUCCCUUUCAUGAGCAACCACUGGGACAUCACUGAUCUGCUGCUAUCGCUGUAGAAACAUCAGCGCCUUCUCCUUUAGUUUCGUAGUGCCUCUUCUCAAUUCAUCACCCCUGCAAGAGGAGGUGGCCAUCAAGCGAACACAGCCCAGCCAUCUCCCAUUCGGUAGAGAACUGCUGCAGCUCUCUAACCUCUACCGCACUAUAGCUUUCCCUCUCCCACUGAUCGCUGCUCCAGAGAUCGACGGUGGAGCACUCCUGGAGGUGAUCGCCGCCUACCUUGUCACCGCCGCUUGAGGCCCAGCCUUUGACAGAACUGCAAUCCGC